Molecule: ribosomal RNA, 427 nt
Filed under: uncultured bacterium
Lineage: Bacteria
Description: partial 16S ribosomal RNA
Rfam family: Bacterial small subunit ribosomal RNA
Source: RNAcentral
UGGGGAAUAUUGCACAAUGGGCGCAAGCCUGAUGCAGCCAUGCCGCGUGUAUGAAGAAGGCCUUCGGGUUGUAAAGUACUUUCAGCGGGGAGGAAGGCGAUAAGGUUAAUAACCUUGUCGAUUGACGUUACCCGCAGAAGAAGCACCGGCUAACUCCGUGCCAGCAGCCGCGGUAAUACGGAGGGUGCAAGCGUUAAUCGGAAUUACUGGGCGUAAAGCGCACGCAGGCGGUCUGUCAAGUCGGAUGUGAAAUCCCCGGGCUCAACCUGGGAACUGCAUUCGAAACUGGCAGGCUAGAGUCUUGUAGAGGGGGGUAGAGUUCCAGGUGUAGCGGUGAAAUGCGUAGAGAUCUGGAGGAAUACCGGUGGCGAAGGCGGCCCCCUGGACAAAGACUGACGCUCAGGUGCGAAAGCGUGGGGAGCAAACA